Cercocebus atys (sooty mangabey) is the source of this 87-nucleotide microRNA precursor. Lineage: Eukaryota; Metazoa; Chordata; Mammalia; Primates; Cercopithecidae. The record is from Ensembl.
UCUCAUGCUGUGACCCUACAAAGGGAAGCCCUUUCUGUUGUCUAAACGAAAAGAAAGUGCUUCUCUUUGCUGGGUUACGGUUUGAGA